Long non-coding RNA from Humulus lupulus (European hop), 1076 nucleotides. RefSeq lists it as uncharacterized. The record is from RefSeq and is a predicted model, not a curated record. NCBI's taxonomy places the organism in Eukaryota, Viridiplantae, Streptophyta, Magnoliopsida, Rosales, Cannabaceae. The transcript is spliced from 5 exons.
UAAAAAAAAUCUGAAACAUCAUUUCUCUCUCCCUCUUUUCCUCUAUCUUCCCCGAAGCCUCAUUCUCUCUCUUACUGUGUUGCCUCUGCCAGGCCCGAACGGCCAUCGCCCCAUCACCGGAGCCAUACACGCGCCAGCCCAAUCAAACCGCCGGCCCUCGAUACGUCAACCCCCGCGAGCUCACCACCAUACGCGCUGCUCAGGGCUGUCAACCAACGGUCCGAAGCCGACCGCCUCUUGCAUUUUCCGGCGAGAUUCCAACUACCCCGAGCCUCUUGUUUGACGAUCUGUGAUUAGUUAGGCUACGACAGUGACGGGGAAGAGGUGUGGGUCUGGGCUCGUGGUCUUCCUCGUCUCAGAUGCGGGCUCAAUGGUGGGGAUGGGGAUCGACGUGAUGAGAAGAAUCAUCUUUCUCUUUUCUUACAUUUCAAUUUAUAUUUGUUUGUAUAUGUGAUGAGAAGAAUGAUUGAUUAUUGACGGUGUUGGCUUCAUUACUCAGAUGAAAAAUACUACAAGUCUUCUGAUUCCAUCAAAUGUAAAGACAGAUCCAAGAAAUUCACCAAAACCCAGCUCAACGACAACUUCUGCGACUGCCCCGAUGGCACCGACGAGCCUGGAACAUCUGCUUGUCCAAAUGGAAGAUUCUAUUGUCAAAAUGCAGGGCAUGCUCCUAAAGUGUUAUUCUACUAGAGUGAAUGAUGGUAUAUGCGGAUGUUGUGGACGUCCAUGACAGUUUAGCUGCUGAAGCUGAACAUGGUGAUGCUUCCAGAAAGGAAAGGUCCUCAGUUCAAGGUGUAGAAUAGGAAAAUAGCUUUAGUGGCGGUAAGGUUCGUGGAUGCUUCGGGAAUGUGUAUCGGUGGUGAAUGGAUUCAAGGAGUCGAGAGUUCGAUUUCAAGGAUGUAGUCUUUUAUUUAUGGUUUUACAUGUAUUUUUCUGCACUUUCUAUGUAACUCCUUUAUAUUUUAAAUUAUGUUUUGUUUUUAAGACAAUGGGAUCCCAUAUCCUUCUUGAUAUUUUAUGUAAGGAACUCUUAUUUCUACAAGUUUUUCUAAUAAAGUUAUGGUAUUUUCUCCAAA